This 6840-nucleotide long non-coding RNA is filed under the name Setaria italica (foxtail millet). Its description in RNAcentral is "long non-coding RNA (SITA_LNC003441)". Lineage: Eukaryota; Viridiplantae; Streptophyta; Magnoliopsida; Poales; Poaceae. The record is from RNAcentral.
GAACUUGUUUAUGAAGUGCCAUAGAGAGACCAGGGUGUCCUUGGGGUCGCGGCACACGUACACGACCUUGCAGCCGCCGCCGGCGACAGACCCCGGCAGCGCCGCGAAGGGGACGUGCGUGGAGAAGAGCCUCGGAUCCGGGAGGUCGCCGAUGUCGGGGACUCUACCGCAAGUGUAGUAGAUCUGGUACUCCAAGUUCUGGACGCACUCGUGGGGGCCGAAGGAGUGGAAAGGGUGGUCGGCGGCGUCCGGAGGGUGCUCCCGCCGGCGCACGGUGGCGUAGAGGAGCGCUUCGGUCCACGUGGUGCCGGUCUUGGGCAGGCUGGCGAGGACGACGUCCGUGGGCCGCGCGGCGAAGCGGGCGCCGGCGACCAUGGCACCGACCAUGGGCAUCUGGCCGGCGCGCCAGCCUUGGCCGUGGAGGUAGAGCCGCUGGAGCGACAGGCCAUCGGAGCUCGGCAGGGAGGAGACCAGGUCGGUGAAACGCUGGUAGAGUUGCUGGUUGGUUUCCUCCGCUUGCGCAUCGGCUUCUUGCUGGGGAACGGUUUGCACGGAGAACGACAUGGCGAGUUGGCGAGUCGUGGCACCUUUGAUUCUUUGUAUAAACAUAUGCAAGGGUAAGGCGUCUGGUACUCUAGCUUGUUGAUGGUUCGGUAAAGGUGCCUUGGUGGCCUGGUAGAGGAAGCAAACCCCGGCGAGAGGCCUGUGAUUAUAUUCCACGAGGCUCUCAUAGCACGGGCUGGGUAGGCAAGCGGCGGAAUAAUAAAAAAACCACGUGCAACCACGUGAGGUGACGGCGCAGUCGUGGAUCCCUCGUCCAGUUCCCUUCCCUCACAAUAGCAGAUGAGAUGUGAGGAAGAUGCAGAAGAUCACCCGUAUCUUUUCCCAGUAGUACUCACCGUACACCCGCAGGCACAGCACACCACGAGGCCUGUGAUUAUAUUCCACGAGGCUCUCACCGUACACCCGCAGGCACAGCACGGGCCGGGGUAGGCAAGCGGCGGAAUAAAAUAACAAACCGUACGUGCAACCACGUGAGAUGAUUGACAAUAAUGCGUUGCCAACGCCACAGCAUGAGCUCGGAUAUGACGCGCCGCCGAUGCGCCGCAACAUCAGGCUGCCAUCUCUCGUAUCGUAUCCAUGGAUGCUACCUGAACUGCUAGAAGCAGUUUGUCCAACUUCUUUUCGUGACGGUUCUGAUCGAUCCAUUGCAGUUGCAGAGGAAGAAAUUACACGUAGAAUUGUGCAGUGGCUCCGCGGUUGAGGGGAUAUAAGAGAAGGGGAUCCAACAUCCGCAGCAUGCACGUAGAUGCCCCCUGGCACCUAGAGGUGAUCUAGAAAACAUUAAUAUGUAGAGUUUUUUCAUAGGUGGCAUUAAUUUCUUCCCUUCUUUGUACGGCACCUUAAUUUUGCUCAAGUUUCCGCAAGUGACACGUGCAUGCUCCAGCAUACAGUAUUCUCCACGUCUACGGAUUAACAUGGAGCGCCUCCAAAAGAAAGAGGAAGCGAGAGAGGCGCACAAAAUAAGCAACUUUUUACCCCCAACAUUAUUAUUUAUACAUAUAUACUAUUAAUUAUUUUCUCUUGCUUUAAUUUGUACUACUAGUAUCGUGAUUAUUCGAAUCAGAUCAGGGCUAGAUGUGGCUUGGAUGAAGAAGCACCAUGCACGUUGCGGAACUACUGAGAAGUAAGUCCAUGCAUGCACAACUAGAGGAGUCAUAAAAUGUACAGAUAGAGCCUUUUGUACACACUGGAAUCGUCAAAACGUACGUGCUUGUGUACUGUUCCCAUUUAUUGGGUGACGUAACUCAAGGCUUUGAUGAUACUUUAAACAUGUAGGCCACGUUAUUUUAUACGUAAAACGUAUUACUUUAGUGGAUGUUGAAAAUAGUCUGUACAGCUUUUACCAGCCUGGGGCCUUUCUUCUUUUUUUUUGGGACGGCUAAGUUAUAAUGAUCUUUUGCUAAAAUUUUCGUUACCAUGAGGGCCUUUCUUCUUUUUUGUAUGGUUCUUUUGCAGUUCCCUGGGCCGAAAGGUGUGCAGCGCUCCAGCCAUUUACUUCUUCCUCCACAGUCUGUCCUUUUGGCCAGCCCAAUAAGCGACGGAGCUCCAAGACGUUCAUGGGCUCAUGAGACCUGCUGCAUGCAGUUUAUCAUGCACGCACCACCAACCCUCAGCGCUUCACCUUCCCUGUCGAAUUUUUUUAUUUUUAUAUUUUUUUUGAUUUUGCAGAAAUAUAUAGUCGGAUGGAAAAAUUGCAGAUUGGGCUAUUGCCGCCGGCCCAGGCGGCGGAAGGGCCUUGCCACCACCUCAGCCGGCGGUAAGGCCCCCCGCCAACGGUCAGCAACCGGCGUAACUGCGGGCGCGUGAGUCGAGGUGUUACCGCCGCCUGGGCCGGCGACAGUCACCCCUUUAUAACCCGCCCGCGUCCCUCCCCUCUCCCCGCACCAGUGCGCGCCCGCAACAAGCCUGAGAAGGGAGAGGGAAGAGAAAGAGGAAAGGAGGGAAGGAAAAAAAAGAGAGAGAGGAGAGGAGGAGGAGGGAAGAAAAAAAAAGAAAGAAAGGAGGAGGAGGUGGAAUAGGGAAGAAAUUUCUUCUGUCUUUCGUAGGUAAUUUUUUUUAAUCUCGUAGUUUAGUUUAGUUUAGAUCUAGAUUUAGAAAUAUUAGUCUAACUGUUAGAGGGUGUUUGGCAGCACUCUUUUUUAGAAAAAACAGGUCCACUUUACCAACUCUACAAAAUUACUUGUCAAACACAUCUAGCUCCACAAACUUCAGCUUCAGAAAAAAUAUGGAGCUAGGGGUCAGAUCCACAUUUUUCCUGAAGUACUUCAGAGGGUGCUCUAAAAACAUCAGUUUCGGACUUCCUCGUGGAGUUAGGGGUUAUUUAUCCACCUUUGCCACUCGUUACACAGCAUAACGAUUCUUCUUUGGUUGCUUGUAUCAUUUGGUUCAUGCAUGAAAUGGUUCAUCAAAAUAAUGAUCCUUUUGUUUGGUAGGGUAUAUUGUAUCAACUCAUCCAUAAUAAAGUCAUCCCAUUUAAUUUAUUAUUCUACUAAGCAAAUUGAUUAAACACCACCAUCAUACAUGCAUCAUAUGGUGCAUGCAACCACGCACACCUAAUUUUUCUUUCCGCUCACUGUCUCCGUUGCCCCCCACCUCCCGUGGAAGCACGCCGGCGGUGGCGUUUCGCGGCCACGAGGAAGCGCCGCGUCGACGCGGGGGAGCUGCUCGUGGCGCGGAAGCACGGGGUGGCCGGCCGCAGCAGGAAGAUGGAGGACGCCGUGUCCGUGCGCGAGGCGUUCGUCGCGCCCUCCGCUGCUGUGGACGAGCGGCGCCCCGCCGUCGGGAGCGGGAGGUGCGAUUUCUACGGGGUGUUCGACAGCCGUGGGAGCGGGAGGUGCGAUUUCUACGGGGUGUUCGACGGCCACGGCUGCUCCCACGUCGCCGAGGCGUGCCGGGACCGGAUGCACGACCUGCUCGCCGAGGAGCUGUCCGCCGGCGACGAUGAGGCGGCGCUGCCGCGGGAGCCUGCGGCUUGGACCGCGGCGAUGGAGCGGUGCUUCGCGCGGAUGGACGCCGAGGUGACCUCCGCCGGCGGCCGCCAGCGCCAGCUGCCGCUGCGACGCGCACAAGUGCUCUGCCGCGGCGGCGGUGCGGCGCCGGUGCCGCUGUCCUCGGACCACAAGCCCGACCGGCCCGAUGAGCAGGAGCGGAUCGAGUCCGCGGGCGGGCGCGUCAUCUUCUGGGAGGGCGCGCGGGUGCUGGGCGUGCUGGCCCGCGCCAUCAGGGACGGGUACCUCAAGCCGUACGUGCCGUCGGUGCCUGAGGUGACGGUGACGGACCUCGCCGAGGACGACGAGGAGCGCUUAGAUUAAUUAUUAUUAUGGUGUAACCGGAAUUCGAUCCGGAUACCAUUUGGGAUGAAAAAAGGUGUUCAAAUCAUCUAAGGCUGAGAUGGUCGGUCAAGAAGAAUUCGAUGCGGAUCCAAUCUGGAACGAAGCCUCACUAGUCUGCUUUUUUUUUAUCUUCAGUAGAACAUUUGGUUGAACAUUUUAGUCAUUGGAGCAUUAUUCGAUGGAAUAUCACAUUUUAUAUCUUGCUAUGCUCAUUGUUCAGCUAGUUUUUAUUUUUUUUCCCGAGUACUGUAGCGAUAGUACCGUAGCAGCGGCAAAAAAACAAAAUACAACUGUGCGUAAUGCUUAAAACACAACUAGGCAUCCAUCAUGAGCAAAAUAGAACAUUCCCACCAAAUCCUCAUAUUUCUAAAGCUGGAGCACUACAAUCUGCCAAACACGUACAACAACUUCAUAUUUUUUUAGAGUUGGUGGAGUGAACCUGGGAAAGUGUAGAGCUGGUGGAGUGCAGCUAUUUUUUAUGAGGUGGAAUGCUGCAUGCAACUGUCAAAAUCGACCGUCAUGUGUCGCUCCUGCCUUGCAUCAGUAAUUAUAAAUUAGAGUGUAUUUUUUAGAAAGAGGAAUAAUCUCCUGCCUCUUGCGACAUACUUCCCCGUUCUAAAUUGUAGGUUAUUUUAACGUUUCUAGAUGCAUCAAUUUUACUACAUAUGUAGACUCUGCGUAACAAAAAUCAUGCAUUUUUUUUAAACCAACCUGCAAUUUGAAAUGUAUGAAGUGAAUUAGAGUAGUGCAUCUAUAACUACAGUACACCCGCAGGCACAGCACGGGCCGGGUAGGCACGCGGCGGAAUAAAUAACAACCGUACGUGCAACCGUACGGUCCAGCGUUUCCCUCCUGAUCGAUACAUUGCAGAGGAAGAAAUUACAUGCAGAAUCGUGCAGUGGCUCCGCGGUUGAGGGGAUAUAAGAGAAGGGGAUCCGCAACAUGCACGUAGAUGCCCCCCUGGGUCUGGGAAACGGGAAAGGCGGGAAGGUAACUGGCGCCCGCGCAGGAAUUUUAAUGGGCCGGGCCGAGAAGGACUGAAGGAGCCAAUACUGUGAGCCUGAGUCAGGUGAGGUCCGCUCGUCCCAGGCCAUGUUUAGUUACCCCCAAAUUCCCAACUUUGGCACUAUGCAAAAAGAAGAUUCCCCCUCACAUCAAACUUGCGGUACAUGCAUGGAGUACUAAAUGUAGACGAAAUCAAAAACUAAUUGCACAGUUUUGUUGUACUUUGCGAGACGAAUCUUUUGAGUCUAAUUAGUCAAUAUUUGGACAAUAAUUCACAAAUACAAACGAAAUACUACAGUUGCGCAUUUAUGACAAAAUCCCAACUUUGGCACUCCCAAAUUGGGAACUAAACAAGGCCCCACUGAGCUCCUGAGAGGCAGAGACCAUCUUUUUCCGGUUGGAGUUCAUGCUUCUCCAUUAAUCAUCUUUACCAUUAUUAGGAAUGAAGACAAAUGCCGGCAAAAGGAUGACAACAAUAUUUAACUAAUGUUAAGUUCAUUGCACAUUUAGAUUUAAUAGAUUAAAGCUGCAAUUUAAAUGUCAUUUUGAUGUAAUAUGAAGUAAAAAUAAAAAAGAAAAGGAAAUAACACUAGUUACACAAGGAUGGGUAAUUUAUUCUGACCACAGGAAAAAAAAACAACAAAACAUGCUACGUCCCCUACCCAGAGAUGAUAUAGAUGGAACAUAGUUUGGAUUGGUCGAGCCUAUUUCCACAAUGUAUAGCAAGGCAACGUAAUGACAAAGUGGAAUAUGGUUCUGUUUGGCUGCAGAUGGCUAAAGUUUAGCACCUAUCACAUCGAAUGUUUGGAUGCUAAUUAGGAGUAUUAAACAUAGUCUAAUUACAAAACUAAUUGCACAAAUGGAGUCUAAGUCGUGAGACAAAUCUAUUAAGCCUAAUUAGGCUUAAUAAAUUCGUCUCACGAAUUAGCACAGGGUUAUGCAAUUAGUUUUAUAAUUAGUUUAUGUUUAGUUCUCCUAAUUAGCAUCCGAAUAUCCGAUGUGAUAUUGCUAAACUUUAGCACCUGGUAUCACGAACAGCUGAAGAUCAAGGACGACGCUAGACGAUGAGACCGGAGCCCUCGAACUUGGAGCGCGUGAUGUCGUCGAUGCGCCGCGCCGUCUCCGGUGAGAGGUGGUUCACCCAGUCCCCCACCACGCCACGCCGGAAGAAGAUGCUGUUCUCCACAGAGCUGGUCCCCGCCACCGUCCUGCCGCUUUUCGUCGCCUCAAGCCCGCACAUGUGCUCGAAAGCGCACAGCCUGACGAUGGCGUCCGCCGUGCCGUCCUCGCCAGCGCCGCCGAACGGGAGCCCCACGAACUCCGCCAGCCGUCGGACGUGCGCCGCGGGGUCCCUCAUCAUCUCCUCGUACCGGAAGAAGAUCACCCGGUCGGGCCGCGCCAGGUGCGCACGCCAGUACCCGAGCACGUGCUCCCAGUACGGGCCGAACGGCGACUCGCCGGCGCAGAACAUGUCGGCGGCGACCUCGGCGGAGAGGAGCCCUAUCCCCUCCUUGGCCCUGAACUUGUUUAUGAAGUGCCAUAGAGAGACCAGGGUGUCCUUGGGGUCGCAGCACACGUACACGACCAUGCAGCCGCCACCGGCGACAGACCCCGGCAGCGCCGCGAAGGGGACGUGCGUGGCGAAGAGCCUCGGAUCCGGGAGGUCGCCGAUGUCGGGGACUCUGCCGCAAGUGUAGAUCUGGAACUCCAAGUUCUGGACGCACUCGUGGGGGCCGAAGGAGUGGAAAGGGUGGUCGGCGGCGUCCGGAGGGUGCUCCCGCCGGUGCACGAUGGCGUAGAGGAGCGCUUCGGUCCACGUGGUGCCGGUCUUGGGCAGGCUGGCGAGGACGACGUCCGUGGGCCGCGCGGCGAAGCGGGCGCCGGCGACCAUGGCACCGACCAUGGGCAUCUGGUCGGUGCGCCAGCCUUGGCCGUGGAG